UGCUUUCAAUAUUUCCCUCUAAGUUGGCUG
Molecule: non-coding RNA, 30 nt
Filed under: Rattus norvegicus (Norway rat)
Lineage: Eukaryota; Metazoa; Chordata; Mammalia; Rodentia; Muridae
Source: RNAcentral